This 260-nucleotide long non-coding RNA is filed under the name Capsicum annuum. Its description in RNAcentral is "long non-coding RNA (CANN_LNC002674)". The record is from RNAcentral. Lineage: Eukaryota; Viridiplantae; Streptophyta; Magnoliopsida; Solanales; Solanaceae.
ACCCGUAGUCGUAAAGGGCCGAGAGAACAAAUUCAUAACCUUAUACUUCUCAUGCAUGUAACUAUGACAACCCAAGGUUCUAACAAACAUAAUAUUAUGUAUCGAUGAGAAUAAUUACAUAGGCACGCACAAAAUUAUAUAUACAACACUUGGUCGUUGGGGCCACCACAUCCAAAGAAAAACACUACCAUAACUUUACAUUAGUCUACAAAGCCUCUAAAAGAUACAUAGACAUAGUUAGGGUCAGGACAAACCCCCGC